UUUAUUUUAGUGUAUUUGUAAAUGUUGUCAAGUUAUUCGGUUCUCCAGCCAUUGACUUAAGUUUAGUUUAAUAUUAAUUUAUAUCUAUUAGCGGGAGUUUAGUCAAUAAUAGAACAUUAAGUAAUGUAUAAUUUAUUUAUAUUAUGUAAAAUGUAUAAAUAAAAUACUUUAUUAUAGUGUUAAUAAUGAAAACUUGUAGUUACUGAAAGAUAAGAGAGAGAAUCGGACAAGGUGUAGCGUGUCAACAUCAACCAAGGUGGACGUCUUGUUUAUUGUUGUUAAUUUUGUUAGUAAAUGUUAAUUUGUGGGCCUUCCUCCCUCCCUCGUGUUUACUGCUGCAAUUGGUUGUUACUGUAGUGUUAAGACAACUACCAUAUUGCUGCCUCGCUGAUCGUGGUUAAUUAAGUUCCUCAUGUCAUUCGUCGAGGACGGUGACGUGAACAUGUAAGAUAUGGGCCACAAGACGAAGGUUUGUUUUGGUUAACGGGUCUCUUGCUGCGCCACAUUGGAAGCUCUCUGCUAUAACAUAAGGUACAGUACAGUGUAUAUCUUUGUGGUU
RNAcentral lists this long non-coding RNA (559 nucleotides) under Homarus americanus (American lobster). Its description in RNAcentral is "uncharacterized LOC121865260". The record is from RNAcentral. Lineage: Eukaryota; Metazoa; Arthropoda; Malacostraca; Decapoda; Nephropidae.